UACAGAGGUCCCAAGCGUUGUUCGGAUUCAUUGGGCGUAAAGGGUGCGUAGGUGGCGUCGUAAGUCGGGUGUGAAAUCUCGGGGCUUAACUCCGAAACUGCACUUGAUACUGCCUCGCUUGAGUACUGGAGAGGAGACUGGAAUUUACGGUGUAGCAGUGAAAUGCGUAGAUAUCGUAAGGAAGACCAGUGGCGAAGGCGAGUCUCUGGACAGUUACUGACGCUGAGGCACGAAGGCCAGGGGAGCAAACGGG
Molecule: ribosomal RNA, 253 nt
Filed under: uncultured bacterium
Lineage: Bacteria
Description: partial 16S ribosomal RNA
Rfam family: Bacterial small subunit ribosomal RNA
Source: RNAcentral